AAAGUCCACAGUCCGGCCCUAGACAGAGUCCUGCUUUCAAGAUAGAGCCUGUUCUGUUUCCUCCUUCAAUAGUUUCUUCUUAACUGCUGUUAGAAUUUGAAAUUGGUGUAUAUGUUUAUUUUCUUUCUUUCUUUUUUUUUUUUUUGAGUGUGUUCCUUCUCCAGAAUAUAAAUUAUUUGAGUGCAGGUAGACUGCACUAACUUACCAACAUCUUAACGUGCAUCUUAAGACAACAUCCAAAACAGUGGCUCAUGGUGCUUUUCCUCCUCCGAAGAAAUCUGAAGAUAAAAUUAGCCUGUCUGCUUCCACUUCUACUGUUUUUGCUAUGGAUGAAAGGAAGAAAAUAAUGCCAAACACUGUAGAUUGGUGGUGGAGGGAAUUCGCUGUUGUUUAAAGAUGUACAUUAAGACCCAUUUCAAGUCUGUACAAAUCCAAUUAUUCAUCUUCUGCAUUAUAGUCACUGUUAAUGAAAAAUUUAAGAUUGAUACUUUGGCAAAUAUUUUUUUGUUCUAUCAUUUUGAUAGACAACCAAAAGUAUAAAUGAAUUGAGAGCAAAGGUCAUGAUACCUAUAACUUCCCCAUUGGUCCAGUGGCUAAGACUGGACCACCUGGACUCAUUGCAAGGAGGCGAAGUUUGAUCCCUGAUCAGUGGGUUGCCAUGCCUUCCUCUAGGGGAUCUUCCUGACCCAGGGAUCCAAUGCAUGUCUCUUAUGUCUCCUGCACUGGGAGGCAAGUUCUUUACCACUAAUACCAUCUGGGAAGCCCCAGGGAACUAGAUCCCAUAUGCUGCAACUAAAGAUCCCCCAUGCCCAGAUGAUAACCACUCUAAUGGAAGAAAGUGAAGAAGAACUAAAGAACCUCUUGAUAACCAUGCUGACAAAGGUCCAUAUAGUCAUGGCUAUGGUCUUCCAGCAGUCAUUUAUGGUUGUGAGAGCUGGUCUGUAAAGAAGGCAGAAUGCUGAGAAUUGAUGGUUUUAAACUGUGGUGCUAGAGAAGACUCUUGAGAGUUUCUUGGACCGCAAGGAGAUCAAAGCAGUCAACCCUGAAUGUUCAUUGGAAGGACUCAUGCUGAAACUGAAGCCCCAAUACUUUGGUCAUCUGACGCAAACACCUGACUCAUUGGAAAAGACCCUGAUGCUGGGAAAGACUGAAGGCAGGAGACAAGGGUGUCAGAGGAUAUGUCUGGAUGGUGUUAUUGAUGCAAUGGACUUGAACUUGGGCAAAUUCCGGGAGAUGGUGAGGCACAGGGAGGCCUGGCUUGCUCCGUGCAGUCCACAGUGCUGCGAAGAGUUGGACACAACUGGCCGACUGAACAGCAUGCCCAACAUCCAAAACCUCAAGUGCCACAACUAAGGCCCAGGACAAAUAAAUAUUUUUAAAAAGCUGAUGACACCUGCAUGACAUUUAUCACAGUGCCAAGAACAAUGUAGACAAUAAAUGACAGAAUUGAAUUAACUAAGCCUUUCAAUGGCUCCUAGUAAUGAUUCAUUUAGCCCAUAGUGCAAAGCUUUAACAAAGCAUGGUAAUGAAACAAGUGAAUUGAGGAUGCUUUAUGAUGUUCUAUAUUUAUUUAGCUCUGUUCAUGUAAUUGUGACUUCAUCUUAUUCACUUAUCAAUUGUGUGGAUAUAUCUGGGAAUUAACG
This is a long non-coding RNA of Bos taurus (domestic cattle), 1643 nucleotides long. Lineage: Eukaryota; Metazoa; Chordata; Mammalia; Artiodactyla; Bovidae. The record is from Ensembl.